RNAcentral lists this ribosomal RNA (547 nucleotides) under uncultured archaeon. RNAcentral describes it as "bacterial SSU rRNA". It matches the Rfam family "Archaeal small subunit ribosomal RNA", at positions 326 to 875 of the family's 1478-position model. The record is from RNAcentral.
CGGGGUGCAGCAGGCGCGAAACCUCUGCAAUAGGCGAAAGCUUGACAGGGUUACUCUGAGUGACGUCCGUUAAGGACGUCUUUUGGCACCUCUAAAAAUGGUGCAGAAUAAGGGGUGGGCAAGUCUGGUGUCAGCCGCCGCGGUAAUACCAGCACCCCGAGUGGUCGGGACGAUUAUUGGGCCUAAAGCAUCCGUAGCCGGUUCUGCAAGUCUUCCGUUAAAUCCACCUGCUCAACAGAUGGGCCGCGGAGGAUACUACAGGGCUAGGAGGCGGGAGAGGCAAGCGGUACUCAGUGGGUAGGGGUAAAAUCCUCUGAUCCACUGAAGACCACCAGUGGCGAAGGCGGCUUGCCAGAACGCGCUCGACGGUGAGGGAUGAAAGCUGGGGGAGCAAACCGGAUUAGAUACCCGGGUAGUCCCAGCUGUAAACGAUGCAGACUCGGUGAUGGGUUGGCUUCGAGCCAACCCAGUGCCGCAGGGAAGCCGUUAAGUCUGCCGCCUGGGGAGUACGGUCGCAAGACUGAAACUUAAAGGAAUUGGCGGGGGA